ACCUGCCCCCCCAACCAGAAAACCUACCCAGAGGGGGCCCCUCACUUUGUGCAGCAGAGAAAAGUCAUCCCUGAUGUUCUGCUGGAAUUCCUAACCCACAGAGUCCCUGAGUUUAACAAGGAAGGUGUUUCUGCCAUUAAAUUUUACGCAUCCAUCAUGUGUAUACUCUGCACCAGGCACUGGGCUACAUGCUGAUGACAUGCAGCUGAAAAAUCACUUGUGGAUUAUUCUGGACUCAUCUGUAGAAGAGUCUGGUUCUCACUGAAUUUCACUGGGAG
Suricata suricatta (meerkat) is the source of this 278-nucleotide long non-coding RNA. RefSeq lists it as uncharacterized. Lineage: Eukaryota; Metazoa; Chordata; Mammalia; Carnivora; Herpestidae. The transcript is spliced from 3 exons. The record is from RefSeq and is a predicted model, not a curated record.